UUUUUAUUCCAAUCUUCUCGAGAAUUUCUAUUCGUGUAGCAAAGUUCCAUGUACUUGGCACAGUAAUUGAUUUGGAUUAUUUUUUUCCUAUUAUUCAUGAAUUCUUCUGAUUAAUCAUGUGGGUGCCUGUUUAGGCACCAACAAGGUGGAGGGCCGAGUUUCAUGUGUAGAAUGGAAGGCGAUAGAAUAAUUAUCGGCGAUGAUCGCCGAGGUGAGGUAGAGGGACGAUCGGGAAUUCCUCGAUAAGAGCCGAGGAUUCGCAGAAAUCAAAAGGAAGCCCAGAGAUAGUGUGUGUCUCCCAGGAUCGUUGCGACGUGCACGUCAAAUAUACCUAUAUAUAUAUACCCAGGAAAUUAUCAGAUAAGUUUCAAAUAAAUAAUAUACAUUUCCACGAGAGAUAAGGGAGACCAGAACUUGAAUCGAACUGUUUCAUACUAGGCCCUAAUAUAUAUUUUAUAUCUAUAAGUCCUUUCUACGCUUGAUUCUGUCAUAUACACAAUUACUUCAUCUGUCCAUUUUAACAUAUAUGUUUUGCUUAAAGCUAAGUCUGCCUGUUAUUUCGUUAUUGUCGACAUUUUUAUUUAUACAAUAAUCGUUAUUUAUUUUUGUGCCUUGUUUUCACCGCAAAUCGUUGGUUCACUAAUUUAUUAUUAUAUCUGUGAUAGCGUCAUAUAUUCUCAUUUUUACACCUCAAGAUUGUUAGACAAGUGGACCGAAGAGAUUUAAUAAGCUUUUGUUAUGUGCAUAUAUGAACGCAAUUUAUUGGAAUUAAUAUAAAAUGACUAUAGGUCAAAAGACGUUAACAUUAAUUUGAAUUCAUUGGUCCUAAGAUCCUAAUCCAUAACAUAUCGGUCGAUCGUCUUAAUCCGAUCAACCAGGCUAGCGAUCCCCUAAAUAAGAGAAUCGUUACAAUCAUUAGAUAUAUUUUAAUGGUAGUUACUGUUGAAUAUUUGAUGUACUUGGCGAACUUUUUUGCACCGUAGGUGCCUUUUGUGGGAUUAUCCUUAAUGCGUCUCGUUUAUUGUCCUUUUUUCAGAACACUCAUUUCUAAUGCAUCAAAGGCAAGUGUUUACUCUGUCAUCGACGGAGAUCAUCCUAUCCUAUUUAAUCCACCAUAUCAUUUCUCUGAUCAAAAUAACAUCAGUCGUGGUUUCUACGAUAUUAUCGACAGAUAGAUUCUAAUAUUUUCGGUAAACACACCGUGGAUCAUAACAGAUCGUGGCCGGUCGAUGCGAUCCCCCACCUCUGCUGUGGCGCUGCUGUAAAUUCGACUAGGGAUAUUUUGCGAGAACCUAAAUCAGAUAGCGUCGUGUUUCCGUAUUUCACUCAUGAACACGGUCGGUGUACGUACACAAGCAUACCCCCACCACGCUUCCCGCACCUUUAUUCCUAUCUAUACCCAACGUUACGACGUUUGUUGUGUGUCGACUACAUUGCCCGUGACCGACAAGCCUGUCCUACGACACCAAAUCACGCGUUGUCGCUGCCUUCUACAUACUGCCAAAGUUUGUUAUCGUCACUACUCUUUGUAAGAAUCAAUUUGGGAGUACUUUCAACCUAUUGAAAGAGAAGGACGGCCGGACGUAACACCGCAGAAAGUGGACACGUUUAACUAUGUCUGUCGAUAGAAUUAACGGUACCGCGAAUGAUUUACAGAAGAUGCAGGGCACAAUUGAUGUUGAAGAAAAGCGUCGCCGUAAAUUGUGGGAACGGAUGGAAGUUGACAUAGGCGUUCGCGUACCUAUACACGUAAAAAAUAUCUUGAAAUUUAACAACCUGGACAACGUCUUGUGUUUCCGCAAAAUUACGGGGGAUCUUAUAAGCGAGCUGGAGGACUUUGCCAGAACAAUAAUGCUAUUACUCUUGGCGGAGAGUGAAAAUUUGCAAAAUUAUUACGGAAUAUUCCAUAAAGUGCCUGGGAAGUUCAAAUUUCUACCUGGAGAUAGGAUCUUAAUACUUGAGUGUGUAGAUCACGCGAAAUCGAAAGCUAAAGACUAUUUUUAUUAGUGGUUUUUUUUUUAUUGAACUCGAGAAAAUACGACUAAUUAUCUUUUGUAAACUAUUAAAACACAUGAUAAAUAUAUAAUCAGGUAUAACAAGUAUAAUUGUAUUUAAUGUAUUCAAUAAUUCAAGAUAUGAAAUAAUCAAGUUGACUCAGGAUUAUGAGUUUUGACUGCGAUUUUAUAGAUGGCCGUGAUAUGUAGGUAAUUCUAUUACUGAAUGGUAAAGUGUAGUUUAUUAUCAGUUACUAUUACCAACCCAUCGAUGUUUUCUUUAGUUUCAAUAUUUGAGAUGUUUUGCUUUCGUCAAAUCCGUCUUGUCUAUUAAAAAUCUCGUUUUUAUUCAAAUCACGAUAUUGUAAACUAUGUAGUUUGUACUCAUGUUUGUAUAUUUGAACUUGCUCGAGCUAUGAUCAUACAGAUAAAGUUUCAUAUGCAUUUUUCAAUUAUGUAACGCUUAAUUCAAUCAAUGCCGCAACCAUUCAAAUAUCACUACAUAAUUUGUUAAUCAGGCCGAACCCGGGGCCCAGUGAAAAUUUGCUGUAACAUUUUUUUUUUUUUUUAAUCUUUUCCUUUGAAUCACUAGAUCAAAUAUUUCAAUUAAUCGUUGGAGAUGCUUUCUGGUAGCCACGCGAACCCUCCGAACCCCUUACAAACCUAUGAAGUCAUCGCCAAAUGAAUGAAUGCUAUUUGCUACCCGACCUCCACCGAAUCGUAAAUAUCGACUAAGGCAAAAACAUUCGAACUGUAAAAAUAAACCGCCAAGUACCAAAUUGAAAAUUAUUUCGCUGUUAUUUGUAGUAAAAUAAAAUAAUAACGCGGAGCACUACAGAUUCCCGACAAGCAUUUGUCGUAAAGUCAGUCCGCGCUGUUUCGUGUACUGGAUAUCGAAUAAUCAUUUCAAGAGCUGCAUCCUUGGGGAGCGCAUUAUAUUAUCAUCUGUUUGCUCCAGAAUACUAUUUUACGAGUGUACUUUGUAUCAUUUUAUUUCUUCCAAAUUAUCUUUAGGAUCAUGAAUAGGAUUUGAAAUAAAAAAUGGGCCAACGUGCAGGUAUAUUACUGCGUACAUAUUAGCCUGAAUCAUUUACUAUUUGACGAAUGGGAUUGGCCUAUACUAACGGAGUAUCGCCUUGAGGAUUAGGGAGCCUUCAGGAAAAUCGGCGACGCCCGACGCCCUAAUCCCCAAGGCGAUACUCCAUGUUUUCUAUUUUUCCAUCUCUACAGGGUAAUUGCUAUUUCAUCAUUAAUCGAGGGGAUAUAAUCGAGAGUACAAAUAAAUAAAUAUUUGAUUUUUUCCUGUGUAUAGGCAAACAGAAUGUUGAAGACCGAUUGCAAGUAUACAGGCUUUUUAAUUCAAUUCCCAAUUAUCAUGAACUUGAAUUUUCAAUUAAAUUGGAAAAAUAGAUAUCUCGGAUACAGAUAAAGUUUUUUAUAUAUGCCUGAAUAUGUGGAAACACUACUUCUCUGAUGUAAGAUGAAAAUCUGAAUCGCGUUUUUCACGAAGAUGAUCGAUAUGAGGUAGAUGUUCCAAUUACUGAAAAUACUCUAGUUAUUGACUCUAUGUAAGUUAAAUGCAGUCCGAUGAUUGGGACACGACAUCACGGGCAUUGGUCAAAAUGCGAAUGUUCAAGAUUGGUACAAACAGUUCGUUUCAGAUAUAAAUAUACACACGUUUUUGAAAUUUUUUAUACGUUUUUUUACAUGAGUAAUGCGCCACGGGCCAUUUAUUUCGCCAUUUUUACGCGACCUGCAAGAGGUAAAAUUUCAAGUUUCAACACUGAGAUGCGGAGGGGUGCAUUCGAAAGGUAACAGAGCUUCAAAAAUUCACAUGAGAUAAUACUGCGAUAAGGGUUUUGCAAAUUCGAAGUUUCGGGCUUCAAAAUCGUUCCUGAAAAACUUUGAUACGAUGACUGAGUCGGUCAGGAUAUUCGAUCAAAUAUUUAUGGACAAUAAUUCCUUCAGAGUCGCAUAACUCAUGCAAAAAAACGUACGAAAAUGAAAAAAAAACGUAUUUCGAAGAGGACACUUUAACCUUUAAAAUGACUUCAGAAAAAUUGAAAUCCAACGACUGAAGCACCUCGUGCACCUUCUCAAAGUCAGAAGUUUACUUCACGUUUUCUACACGAGUUGAAUCAGGAGGGUGUAACUAGUGAACAAUAAAGCGCUAUCCAAAUCAACUCAAAGCGUCUGGAAGGUGAAGCUUCAAGCUUCAAAAUGCUCUAAUUCACCUCAAUUACCUCUCUCCACCUGAAUUUUUCGAGCGGUUAUGAGGUUUCGGAAUUGGACGCUUUUCGGAGUGAAAACAGGGUGACCCGCUAAUUUUUAUUCGCAGUAUAUUUUUCAUCGGUUACGAUAAUUUAAUCGCGAACCGAUUCAUCUUUGAGUAUAUUUGCUAAUGGAAUAAGUAUGACGCUUAGAAUAUUCGUAUUAAAAAAAAAAACAUGUGUAACUUCACUGAAGUAUCAGGAAUUGGAACCUUCACCUCGUUCAACAAACUUACUCAUUAUUAAUUGUGCUAUGUCAAAUGUCAGAUGAAUAUAUAAGUGCCAAUGAUUCAUGUAUAUCGGAUGAGGACUGUUCUGACGUCUUACGUGUUAUAUUUGAUUACUUUCUGUUGGCUUACCAAUGUUUUUUGUUCCGGGAGAGUAUUUUAGCUGUCUUUUCUUUUGUAUUUUAAGGUUGUCCAUUACAUGGUUUCGUGAAUCUGAUUUUGUUUGCUCACUUGUGCAUCAGUUUUCAAUAAAAUUAUAACUUAUUCUUGUAAUGUACUUUGAAUUAUAGCAUUUCCAAUGUAGCAGAAUGUAUUCCUUGAAAUUAUAAUAUAAAAACAUGAGAGCGUGUGUAAAAAAUGCGCCCGCCAAGUAUGCAGCUCUUGAAGUGAUUGUUCGAUAUCCAGUACACGAAACAGUGCAGUCUAACUUCACGACGUGUCUGUAGUGCUCGGCAUGAUUAUUUUAUUUUACUACAAAUAUCAAUGAAAUAAUUUUGAAUCCAAGUACAUUGGAAUAUUAAUUUUACGCGUGUACGUGGCUUCGUCGAUUCUCGUAUCAAAGACAGGUGGACAUCGUAAGAGUAUACCGUAGUGAUUCUGAUUUUGGAUCACGCAACAAAUUGCUACGCAUAUAGCUUCAUAAAUAAUCGACUCGAGUUCUAAUAGAAUCCAGCGAGUCAGAACGAAAGUUUAUCUCUUGGCCAAUACUAUGACAACCCAUUUACAGGUAAUUAGUUACUAAUUUUCAUACAUCUUGUUUUUCAAACAAAAAUUUGUUUAAAUUAAAUUCUUUCAGCCUGCACACUUGCCGUCACAAGCAGUUCAAUAAUUCCUUGAAUAACUUUAUCGUGGUUUCGUUAUCUCCGAAUGAAGUUAUCGACGACAUUUCUCCUAGUGACCGGACGGUAGAGAUCAUCGUCUACGUUGACUCCGUUGAACGAAUUAAAGUUGUUGGUAAAAUUAAAAAAGAAAAAUUAUUCAAAUUUACCGGAAAUAAUGGCAGCGGCAGGCAAAUUCAAUGCUUGGCCUGGAAGGGGGAGAUAGAGAGAGUGUCUACGCUGAUCGCCUUGAAUAGAGUGAGUGUUGAAUUCAUAAUUCGGUCAUUUUUGUAACUUUGAUGGCGAUGUCUCUUUGCUUGAUCGCUUUCGGAUCAUACAUAUUGAUGGGGCUACCUCUAAAAGGGUUGAAAACCCAACACUUAUCACUGGAAAUGUGCGAUUUGAGUUAAAUUUUAAUUCAAAUGCCGUGAUCAACGACAUCGGGCAGUUCAAAGAUAAUUAUGAUAAUUUUGGAGGCGAAAUCAGUAAUACUUUCGGUAAUCCGAGGACAAUAUCGCCAGCUGGAGUCCAGGUACCCCUCUUCGAUUUCCUCUGCAACGUGAAUUCGAAAGGCUCCAGAAUGUUGAAAAUCUGUCAACAUCAACUACGCUGGAGGAGAAAAUGACCAGGAAAUGGAUCCAAGCCUAUUACCAGAUUCCGGAACUUGUCCAGCCACUCCUUCCCUCUCCCAUAAAAAAUCCUCAACCCCUAGAUCCUAAGGAGAGAGUCGUCAGCCCCGUCUCCAAAAACCCCCUGUUUUCGAAUCUUGUAUCCCUGUAAAAAAUUCCCCCAUCAUAGUGUCUAUCAGCUGAGACGAUAUUGUUCCACGAAAAUUAUCUAAAAUCAAAUUAGAAAUGUUAGAAAAAUUAUUCUUAAAAAAAAAUAAAAAAAAAAAAAAAUAAUAAAUAAACGGAGUACAUAGUACAAUGAUGAGACAGGUGU
Long non-coding RNA from Athalia rosae (coleseed sawfly), 6251 nucleotides. RefSeq lists it as uncharacterized. The transcript is spliced from 3 exons. NCBI's taxonomy places the organism in Eukaryota, Metazoa, Arthropoda, Insecta, Hymenoptera, Athaliidae. The record is from RefSeq and is a predicted model, not a curated record.